This is a non-coding RNA of Manis javanica (Malayan pangolin), 3271 nucleotides long. The record is from RefSeq and is a predicted model, not a curated record. Lineage: Eukaryota; Metazoa; Chordata; Mammalia; Pholidota; Manidae.
UGGUGUCUGUCGCAUCUGCUCAGCUGUGCCGUCCCAGCGUGGAAUCAGAGACAGGCAAUACGCUAAUGCGUGGGCCUGGGCGUGUUCCAAAGCCUCUUUAUUUAGUGAAACAGGUGGCAGGCCGGAUCCUGCACCGAGUCUCUAAGGUUAUUGAUGGCAGUUUUCAAAACACUGUUCAUCUUCACCAAUUUGGUGACGGUAUGCUGAGAAACCAGAUAUUGCCAGGCCUCUGAGUGUCCUGCCACAAGAUGCUGUGACAAAGGAAAGAUGAGGAAGCUCACGGUGGAGGGGCGCUGUGACCCCGUGCUCUGCCACCAGGAGGCCGUCUCGCUGCGCCAGGGCCCUACGGCUCCUACGUGUGAGCCUCCUCAUCCCCCUCGGGCCCAGAAACAUCCUGCUCGGCCACCAUUUUAUAAGAUUUAAAUAUUCCACACACUCAGAAGAAGAAGGGCAGCUUGGAGUGGGAGAAGCUGCCAGGCAGGGCCAUGCAAAGGGCUGUACCCAGGGACGCGGUGACAGAAAGAUACACGUGUGUGAGGUGGGGUGGGGUCAGCUAGGUUUUGAAAGCUCCCUGCGGAUUGGAAACUUCGAAUCAUCACCAGCACAGGGUGUGUCCCUGGAUGUCCGGUGCCUGGCCCCGGGGCCCUUUAGGACCGAUGUAUAGUGAUCCCAGAGGGUGGGUGGGGUGUGGACUUAAUCAGCUGCUCCAGAAGAGGCCGAUCUGCCUCUAGCCUCACGAUUGGCUCAAGGCAGCAUUACACUCCCCCCCAAACAAAACAAGCAGGUCACAGCCCCUCCUCCGCCGGGAUGCCCUCUCCCCCUCAGGCUGAGUCCCUAGCCCCGCCCACUGCAGGUGCCUGUCUGGCUCUACCCUACCUCAGGCCUGUGGGAAUCAGCAGUGCUGGAGGGCAGACAUUUCUCAAGGAUUGAAAUGCCAAUGCUGUGUUAGGUCUUUGUGUCACAGAUGUCCACAGAUUAUGCCCAAUAUAACUAAUAGCCCUUUUGGGGGCUGGCCAUUUUAGGAUUGUAUGUAUUGAAAUUAAGUUUCACAUAAGAUAAAAGCAUUUACUAAUGACGCUCCUUUGAGAGGAAGCCUUUUGUCUGCAAAGCAAGAGGAAUUAUUAUGCUGGGCGUUUUAAACAGCAGAGGAAGGAGGCUCAUCGCGUUGUAACAGGUGCAAACUUAGUUACGCAGUUGGCACAGGAAACGAGUGAGUUGCACACAGAGAGUACCUGCCACUGGUGUAAGGUAAAAGGGACACGUUUUUGUUUCUAGUAUAUUCCAGAUUUAAUAUUUUGCCUGAUUUAAAAAUUAGACCGAAGGUCUGACCAGCUAUGUAAAGAUGAUGAUUAUAUGUGACUUGAUAUACUCUUUUAUUGUCAUUAACAUCUCUUUUUAAAUCUGGUGAUUAAGGUGCUGCAGAAAGAAAUGUUCACACCAGAAAAUCACCGUGCAGAAUACUUUCCCAAUGCUUGUAAUGUAAAGAAACACAUCUUUAAAAAGCUGGAUGUAAAAGUGUGGGUCCUAUGCACCAGGAUAUGUUUUGUAUGUGGGAUAAUAUGACAUCCAACUUCAGCACAGGACGUCUUCUGUGGUCUCCUGUGGCUUUAAGGAGUCACAAGUGGAUUUUCUGUGGGCUCCCACUAGGCAAGUCUUGGGCCGCACAGGGAGCAAAAGGGGGACAGUAGGCCCCCCAGAGAAAUGAUCUGCCAUGAAGGAAUGUCAUCCUGCAUGAAUGUAGGAAUGGAUGGACAGAGUAAAGCACCAUUAUAAUGCGUGAACAUACGUAAAGCACCUUCGGGAGUGGCUGAACGGAACAUCUCCCAUGCUCACGGCUGCGGGCCCACCAGGCUGCCAGGGAAGGUUGAGCGAACAAGGCUGGUCUGGGGCCAAAUGGGGCUAAAGGGACAGCUAUAAAUGGUGGCAGGCCUUGCCCGUAGCAAACAGGAGAAACAAGGGUCCUCAGGCAGUGACUCGGGCCCACUCAUCCAUCAUUUCAGAUGUACAUAAAAUUAUGUUUUGUUUCUGAAAAUGGUAUGCAGGGGUGGGAGUGUGUUCUGAGAAGUGUUUGUUGGUUGGCAUUUGCCUGUGGAAUGGCAGGUUUUUGAGUCUGGAACUGGCUCAGCCCCAGCCUAGACAGCUGGCCUAGUUAACCCCCUCACGGUCCCUGCUGGCCUCGGGGGGUUCUAAAACGAACUCCGGGAAUUGGCCUAAAGGCAAAUGUGUAUUUAAUCACUGACAUACAGUCAUAUGAUUGAGUCACAGUGAAGUGGGUAUGAAAAUACAUUCCUUCUUUUAGUGCCUAAGUACCGCUGUCAUGAAAUAAGAUACUAAGUGGUAUCUCAUGCAGAUGUAUACACCCAGCCCACUCAUUUUUCCAGAACAAGAUACUUUCUUUCUGUAGUAAGAUUCUGCCGACCACUUCUACAGCUGGCUCGCUAAUUCACACUCUUACUCAUUCUGCUUCAGUGGAAUGAAGGGUCACACCGGACGUUUGUCUCUGAAGCCGCCCCCUGAGAUGCCUGCACUGAGGCUGUUCACUCUGCGCUCUGUGCGCAGCGACCAUGGGUCUGUGUGAUGCCAGCCGAAAACUGUGGCCUCUCUGCUCUUUCACAAGGAGGUCAACUAAGAACUGCUGCUGGAAGAAAGACAGACAAGCCAGCCAGAUGUUUUACACUGUGUGGAACACAGGUUGCAGUCACAGAGCCUGCAUGCAGGGUGUGCCCUCCCUGCGUAAUAUCCACGAAUAUCCUGGGCAGGGGGCAGUCUUCUGGGGCAGAAGAGGAAUGUCUUCAUGGGCGUUGGAGGAGUGCCAGCAAGCUACAGGCCCACACCUGAAAUCCUGAUGCUACAUUAUUUGAGAUCCUUUCUUACAAUUAAUACAAAUGCACCUAAGUGGUGCAGCGAUGUUUAGUGGGUCUCUGGAACUUAUUCCUGUUGCUUAACCGAGACUUUACCUGUUGAUGAGUAAAUCUCAAGUUCCUCCCAGCCCCUGGCAACCAUCGUUCUGCUCUUUGCUUGUAUAAAUUUGGCUAUUUUAGAUGCUUCGGGUAAAGAAAUCUCCACGACUUUAGUCUCCGUGCAGAGUAACUUUGGGGACAUCCUUCCCUUGGGGCAAGGAGACAUCGGACACCUCUAAGUUAAUACUGGUGACUUCCGCGUAGAGUUGUCGAGCCACCACUCACCGUGCAUUUUGGGUUUCAUCUUAAACGAAAUCUCUAAGGCAAGUUGAUCCUUCCAGGCUGGGCUUUGCUGCUGAACUUGCUGACAC